GAUGAACGCUGGCGGCGUGCCUAAUACAUGCAAGUCGAGCGAACAGAUGAGGAGCUUGCUCCUCUGACGUUAGCGGCGGACGGGUGAGUAACACGUGGAUAACCUACCUAUAAGACUGGGAUAACUUCGGGAAACCGGAGCUAAUACCGGAUAAUAUAUUGAACCGCAUGGUUCAAUAGUGAAAGACGGUUUUGCUGUCACUUAUAGAUGGAUCCGCGCCGCAUUAGCUAGUUGGUAAGGUAACGGCUUACCAAGGCAACGAUGCGUAGCCGACCUGAGAGGGUGAUCGGCCACACUGGAACUGAGACACGGUCCAGACGCCUACGAGAGGCAGCAGUAGGGAAUCUUCCGCAACGGGCGAGAGCCUGACGGAGCAACGCCGCGUGAGUGAUGAAGGUCUUCGGAGCGUAAAACUCUGUUAUUAGGGAAGAACAAAUGUGUAAGUAACUAUGCACGUCUUGACGGUAACUAAUCAGAAAGCCACGGCUAACUACGUG
This 497-nucleotide ribosomal RNA is filed under the name uncultured bacterium. Its description in RNAcentral is "partial 16S ribosomal RNA". It matches the Rfam family "Bacterial small subunit ribosomal RNA", at positions 28 to 507 of the family's 1533-position model. The record is from RNAcentral.